This is a long non-coding RNA of Cygnus olor (mute swan), 930 nucleotides long. RefSeq lists it as uncharacterized. The record is from RefSeq and is a predicted model, not a curated record. Lineage: Eukaryota; Metazoa; Chordata; Aves; Anseriformes; Anatidae. The transcript has 4 exons.
UGACUAUCCCCUCUCAAAAAUAAGUUUAGCUGAAAAUCCAGUAUUCUACUGGAGAACAUUUCCCACUGACAACAUUUGACUGGCCUGACGACAGGAAGUCCUGCAGUCCAGACACAAGAACUGGGGCAGCUCUCUUCCACACGCACUUUAUAAUGCCCCUAGAAGGCCGGUUCCCCCACCUGAUUCCAAUUCCCUGACAUUUCUGAUGUUACUCACAGCAUAUGGUGUCCCAUCUGAAGCAGGUUUAAAUGGCAUUUUCCCAGCCUCACCUUCUCGUGAUAUUCUGUUUGGCCAGAAUAAUGCAAAAGAGGUUGUAAGUUUGCACCUGUUGCCUUCCAAAACUCUCCCUUUAUCAACAACGAGAGGGGGAUAUGUGAAGGACAUAAAGCUAUUAAAGCCAGAAGCUGCCUGUGGCUAGUUUUUACCGUGACACGAAUUUACAUAACAGAGUGCAACAGAAGCACUGCGUUAAUGUGUCUACACACUGCCGAGGCACAAAUGAACAAUAUAUUCAGCACCUUAAAAGCACGUUCCAGGAGAAGGAUGAGCUACAUCUAAUCUUGGAGCUUAUCAGUAACCAAGAUGAAGAGCUUCUUCAGUCUCCCUUAAAUAACUAGAGCAAUUUUAUAGUUAUUAUUCAAAUGGAACUCUGAAAAUAUAUGAAUUCAUUAGCAGCUGACUGAUCCAAUUAAAGAAAUGCUACCCAAAGCCUUCCGCAGGCCUUACAAGAGCAAGCAAUUCCCCACAUCAGCAGCUCGGCAAAUGCCACAGCUCCAACUCUGCCACCUCGGCUCAGGGUAAUAUAGCAACCCUAAAUCGUUUAACUCCUUCUGGAUCUUCAAGGAGGUUCUCCAGUGACGUGGCCCAUUUUGAGGUUCCUUUCAAGCUUUGGUGGCUGCUGCUUGGGUGACCCUCGCUGUCGUUUAUCUC